This 389-nucleotide ribosomal RNA is filed under the name uncultured bacterium. RNAcentral describes it as "bacterial SSU rRNA". It matches the Rfam family "Bacterial small subunit ribosomal RNA", at positions 355 to 762 of the family's 1533-position model. The record is from RNAcentral.
UGGGGAAUAUUGCACAAUGGGCGCAAGCCUGAUGCAGCAAUGCCGCGUGAGUGAAGACGGCCUUAGGGUUGUAAAACUCUUUCGCUAGGGAAGAUAAUGACGGUACCUAGUAAAGAAGUCCCGGCUAACUCCGUGCCAGCAGCCGCGGUAAUACGGAGGGGACUAGCGUUGUUCGGAAUUACUGGGCGUAAAGAGUUCGUAGGCGGACUAGCAAGUUAGAGGUGAAAUCCCAGGCUCAACCUUGGAACUGCCUUUAAAACUGCUAGUCUAGAGACCGGAAGAGGUUAGGGGAAUACCUAGUGUAGAGGUGAAAUUCGUAGAUAUUAGGUGGAACACCAGUGGCGAAGGCGCCUAACUGGUCCGGUACUGACGCUGAGGAACGAAAGCGU